This 748-nucleotide ribosomal RNA is filed under the name uncultured Pseudoramibacter sp. RNAcentral's name for it is "bacterial SSU rRNA". It matches the Rfam family "Bacterial small subunit ribosomal RNA", at positions 28 to 776 of the family's 1533-position model. The record is from RNAcentral. Lineage: Bacteria; Bacillati; Bacillota; Clostridia; Eubacteriales; Eubacteriaceae.
GACGAACGCUGGCGGUAUGCUUAACACAUGCAAGUCGAACGAGAAGUCUUUUAUUGAACCUUCGGGGGAUAUAAGAGACAGACAGUGGCGAACGGGUGAGUAACGCGUGGGCAACCUACCUAUCGGAGCGGGAUAGCCUCGAGAAAUCGGGAGUAAAACCGCAUAACACGGAUAUAUCGCAUGAUGAAUCCGUCAAAACUCCGGUGCCGAUAGAUGGGCCCGCGUCUGAUUAGCUAGUUGGUAAGGUAAGGGCUUACCAAGGCAACGAUCAGUAGCCGGUCUGAGAGGGCGAACGGCCACACUGGAACUGAGACACGGUCCAGACUCCUACGGGAGGCAGCAGUGGGGAAUAUUGCGCAAUGGGGGCAACCCUGACGCAGCAAUACCGCGUGAGUGAAGAAGGUUUUCGGAUCGUAAAGCUCUGUUAUUGGGGAAGAAGCAGUGACGGUACCCAAUGAGGAAGUCCCGGCUAACUACGUGCCAGCAGCCGCGGUAAUACGUAGGGGACGAGCGUUGUCCGGAAUCACUGGGCGUAAGGGCGCGUAGGCGGUUUUAUAAGUCAGAUGUGAAAGGUACCGGCUCAACCGGUGACGUGCAUUUGAAACUGUAAGACUUGAGUACUGAAGAGGCAAGCGGAAUUCCUAGUGUAGCGGUGAAAUGCGUAGAUAUUAGGAAGAACACCGGUGGCGAAGGCGGCUUGCUGGGCAGAUACUGACGCUGAGGUGCGAAAGCGUGGGGAGCGAACAGG